CCUACGGGGGCUGCAGUGGGGAAUAUUGGACAAUGGGCGAAAGCCUGAUCCAGCCAUGCCGCGUGUGUGAAGAAGGCCUUCGGGUUGUAAAGCACUUUCAGUGGGGAAGAAAGCCUUGGGGCUAAUACCCUCGAGGAAGGACAUCACCCACAGAAGAAGCACCGGCUAGACUCCGUGCCAGCAGCCGCGGUAAUACGGAGGGUGCGAGCGUUAAUCGGAAUUACUGGGCGUAAAGCGCGCGUAGGCGGUCUGAUAAGCCGGUUGUGAAAGCCCCGGGCUCAACCUGGGAACGGCAUCCGGAACUGUCAGGCUAGAGUGCAGGAGAGGAAGGUAGAAUUCCCGGUGUAGCGGUGAAAUGCGUAGAGAUCGGGAGGAAUACCAGUGGCGAAGGCGGCCUUCUGGACUGACACUGACGCUGAGGUGCGAAAGCGUGGGUAGCAAACAGGAUUAGAUACCCCGGUAGUC
RNAcentral lists this ribosomal RNA (465 nucleotides) under Vreelandella stevensii. RNAcentral describes it as "partial 16S ribosomal RNA". It matches the Rfam family "Bacterial small subunit ribosomal RNA", at positions 338 to 795 of the family's 1533-position model. The record is from RNAcentral. Lineage: Bacteria; Pseudomonadati; Pseudomonadota; Gammaproteobacteria; Oceanospirillales; Halomonadaceae.